RNAcentral lists this ribosomal RNA (577 nucleotides) under Cystofilobasidium infirmominiatum. Its description in RNAcentral is "eukaryotic LSU rRNA". The stretch from base 150 to 303 matches the Rfam family "5.8S ribosomal RNA". The record is from RNAcentral. Lineage: Eukaryota; Fungi; Basidiomycota; Tremellomycetes; Cystofilobasidiales; Cystofilobasidiaceae.
AAGGAUCACUAGAGAUUUCGCCCUCCGGGGCUCUCUUUUUCUUCACACACCCCUGUGCACUUUGGCUGCCGCUUCAUUGCGGUGGUCUUUUAUAAUUACCAUACCCAUAUACACAAGUCAUUGAAUGUAAAAUCGUUAUAAACUAAUAUAACUUUCAACAACGGAUCUCUUGGUUCUCGCAUCGAUGAAGAACGCAGCGAAUUGCGAUAAGUAAUGUGAAUUGCAGAAUUCAGUGAAUCAUCGAAUCUUUGAACGCAUCUUGCGCUCUUUGGUAUUCCGAAGAGCAUGCCUGUUUGAGUGUCAUGAAACUCUCACCUGCAGCACUCUUUUAUUAGAGGGCUGGAGCGUGGACGUGAGUGCUGCUGGUGCCCUCGCUGCAUCGGCUCACUUGAAAUUUAUUAGCUGAAUCCUCUAGUGUUGGUUCUACUCGACGUGAUAAGAUCUCCGUCGAGGACAGUGCUCCUUGUGGGCGUUGGCCACUGCUAGCUGUUGAUACGCUCCUAAUUAGCGCAGACUUCGAGUGCUGGCAACUUUGACAACUGGCCUCAAAUCAGGUAGGACUACCCACUGAACUUAA